Molecule: ribosomal RNA, 497 nt
Filed under: uncultured bacterium
Lineage: Bacteria
Description: partial 16S ribosomal RNA
Rfam family: Bacterial small subunit ribosomal RNA
Source: RNAcentral
GAUGAACGCUGGCGGCGUGCCUAAUACAUGCAAGUCGAGCGAACGGACGAGAAGCUUGCUUCUCUGAUGUUAGCGGCGGACGGGUGAGUAACACGUGGAUAACCUACCUAUAAGACUGGGAUAACUUCGGGAAACCGGAGCUAAUACCGGAUAAUAUUUUGAACCGCAUGGUUCAAAAGUGAAAGACGGUCUUGCUGUCACUUAUAGAUGGAUCCGCGCUGCAUUAGCUAGUUGGUAAGGUAACGGCUUACCAAGGCAACGAGGCAUAGCCGACCUGAGAGGGUGAUCGGCCACACUGGAACUGAGACACGGUCCAGACUCCUACGGGAGGCAGCAGUAGGGAAUCUUCCGCAAUGGGCGAAAGCCUGACGGAGCAACGCCGCGUGAGUGAUGAAGGUCUUCGGAUCGUAAAACUCUGUUAUUAGGGAAGAACAUAUGUGUAAGUAACUGUGCACAUCUUGACGGUACCUAAUCAGAAAGCCACGGCUAACUACGUG